CGUCACAACUAACAAAGUUCCAUUCCGAACUACGACGCAGGAACGAACGGACCUAGCUCUAAUUCCCUCGCGAUUCAUAACGGAAUUUUUUUUAUAAUCGUCGAACGAGAGUCAGAGAGUACUUUUUCAGAAUGCCAUCCGUACUGUCAAAGGAAUUGGACAUCGAAAAUGUGCGGUACCUGCUGGGAAACGUAUACCAGCCCGCAGGGAGAAAAUGCCGCACUUGCAAAAAAAAUCUGAACAUCUACGACGCCAUGGAUAUCCCUGGAGAUCAGGGGUCGCAAACUGUGUAUAGGAAAAUGAGGAAAGUGGAGAAGUGGCGGCCCCAGAUCAGCGUGGGCGGGUAGCACACACUCGUCCUGGUAGAGCCUCCUGUAUCCAUGUGGCUUGAAAAAAAAAUGCUUGAAGUGAACAAUUUGUGACUUUUUAAUGUGUGAAAAUACAUUCAGACAUAACGUAGAGUAAGUCGCUAUGAGCGAAGUAUCAACAACAAAAAAAAUGAAUACAUACAUUGUAUCGGUACCGGUAUCCCU
Molecule: long non-coding RNA, 533 nt
Organism: Branchiostoma belcheri (Belcher's lancelet)
Lineage: Eukaryota; Metazoa; Chordata; Leptocardii; Amphioxiformes; Branchiostomatidae
Exons: 3
Source: RefSeq, a predicted model, not a curated record